Molecule: ribosomal RNA, 619 nt
Filed under: Salmonella enterica
Lineage: Bacteria; Pseudomonadati; Pseudomonadota; Gammaproteobacteria; Enterobacterales; Enterobacteriaceae
Description: partial 23S ribosomal RNA
Rfam family: Bacterial large subunit ribosomal RNA
Source: RNAcentral
UGGGCGUUAAGUUGCAGGGUAUAGACCCGAAACCCGGUGAUCUAGCCAUGGGCAGGUUGAAGGUUGGGUAACACUAACUGGAGGACCGAACCGACUAAUGUUGAAAAAUUAGCGGAUGACCUGUGGCUGGGGGUGAAAGGCCAAUCAAACCGGGAGAUAGCUGGUUCUCCCCGAAAGCUAUUUAGGUAGCGCCUCGUGAAUUCAUCUCCGGGGGUAGAGCACUGUUUCGGCUAGGGGGCCAUCCCGGCUUACCAACCCGAUGCAAACUGCGAAUACCGGAGAAUGUUAUCACGGGAGACACACGGCGGGUGCUAACGUCCGUCGUGAAGAGGGAAACAACCCAGACCGCCAGCUAAGGUCCCAAAGUCAUGGUUAAGUGGGAAACGAUGUGGGAAGGCCCAGACAGCCAGGAUGUUGGCUUAGAAGCAGCCAUCAUUUAAAGAAAGCGUAAUAGCUCACUGGUCGAGUCGGCCUGCGCGGAAGAUGUAACGGGGCUAAACCAUGCACCGAAGCUGCGGCAGCGACGCUGAUGCGUUGUUGGGUAGGGGAGCGUUCUGUAAGCCUGUGAAGGUGGCCUGUGAGGGUUGCUGGAGGUAUCAGAAGUGCGAAUGCUGACAUA